Molecule: ribosomal RNA, 318 nt
Filed under: uncultured eukaryote
Lineage: Eukaryota
Description: partial 18S ribosomal RNA
Rfam family: Eukaryotic small subunit ribosomal RNA
Source: RNAcentral
CCUUUAGAUGUCCUGGGCCGCACGCGUGCUACACUGACGCAUACAGCGAGCACUUUCCAGUUCCGAGAGGCUACUGGUAAUCAUCAAUAUGCGUCGUGAUGGGGAUAGAUCUUUGGAAUUCUGGAUCUUGAACGAGGAAUGCCUAGUAAUCGCAGGUCAUUAGCCUGCGAUGAUUAAGUCCCUGCCCUUUGUACACACCGCCCGUCGCUACUACCGAUUUCGAGUGGUCAGGUGAAUCUUUCGGACUGUGGGCGCCCUUGAGGUGUUCGCGGAAAGUCAGGUAAAUCUUAUCACUUAGAGGAAGUAAAAGUCGUAACA